AUUGAACGCUGGCGGCAUGCCUUACACAUGCAAGUCGAACGGUAGAGGGGGGCAACCCCUUCGAGAGUGGCGAACGGGUGAGUAAUGCAUCGGAACGUGCCCAGUCGUGGGGGAUAGCCCGGGGAAACCCGGAUUAAUACCGCAUACGACCUGAGGGUGAAAGCGGGGGACUCGCAAGGGCCUCGCGCGAUUGGAGCGGCCGAUGUCGGAUUAGGUAGUUGGUGGGGUAAAGGCCUACCAAGCGUGCGGUCCGUAGCUGGUCUGAGAGGACGACGAGACACACUGGGACUGGGGAGCGGCCCAGAAUCCUCCGGGAGGCAGCAGUGGGGAAUUUUGGACAAUGGGGGCAACCCUGAUCCAGCCAUGCCGCGUGCGGGAAGAAGGCCUUCGGGUUGUAAACCGCUUUUGUCAGGGAAGAAAUGUCCUGGGCUAAUACCCUGGGGGGAUGACGGUACCUGAAGAAUAAGCACCGGCUAACUACGUGCCAGCCGCCGCCGUAA
Molecule: ribosomal RNA, 500 nt
Filed under: uncultured bacterium
Lineage: Bacteria
Description: partial 16S ribosomal RNA
Rfam family: Bacterial small subunit ribosomal RNA
Source: RNAcentral